Non-coding RNA from Pelobates cultripes (western spadefoot toad), 226 nucleotides. The record is from the annotation of a GenBank genome assembly. NCBI's taxonomy places the organism in Eukaryota, Metazoa, Chordata, Amphibia, Anura, Pelobatidae.
GUUCAAGCGGUGCUUGAUGCUAUCCGCUCAGCGGGCUUAACUGCCAAUCCUUCCAAGUGUACAAUUGGUUUCGAGGAAGCAAAAUACUUAGGUUAUUCUAUUGGGAGGGGUUUGGUUAAACCACAGGAAGCCAAAGUGGAAGCCAUACAAAAAUGGCCACAGCCCCUUACAAAGAAACAAGUAAUGUAGCCCCAUGUAGCCAAAGCACAGCUAAGCGAAAAAGGGC